GCUAGAUACAUGACAUGAUUGUUCUGAACAGGUGUGGGAGAAAAGGAUCAACAGUAUACCACUUAAACUGCUAAUACAAGUGCUAGAGUGGUCACAGAAAGAGGAGGAGGGUGACACAAGGAGCUUCCAGUGCUAAAAUCAACAAUUCAGAUCCAUGACAAAUGACUUGCAAGACCACAAUCUGUGGCUGAGAAUAAAAUCGGAGGCUUUGGUGGAGACCCUGCUUUAAUUUAAUCUUCCUGGAUAGCGGGAAAUAGAUUCCAUGCAACAAAGCGGUACAUGGCUAUAAUUUAUCCCUUUAAGCCCAAACUUUCUGCUGUGAGCACCAAAGUAAUUAUAGGAAUAAUAUGAUUGGUGGCUUUUGGACUCACCUUCCUGCAGUGCUUUUAUGCUGAGAUCAUGAUUGAUAAUGGAAUGACUAAAUGUAUUGUUGCCUGGCCAGAUGAUGUUGGACGGAAGCAUCAGCUCACUUUGUGAGGACCAUGGUCAUUGUUGUGAUAACUUUUGCUAUCUUUUGGUUACCUUACCACCUCUACUUCAUCCUGGGGAGCUUCAGGGAAGACAUCUAUCAACAAAAGUAUAUUCAGCAAGUAUAGCUUGCAGUCUUUCUGCUUGCUAUGAGUUCUACGAUGUACAAUCCAAUUAUUUACUGCUGCCUUAACCAAAGGUUUCGUUCUGGCUUCAGAUUAGCUUUCCAAUGGUGCCCAUGAAUAAAAGCAACGGAGGGAGACA
Molecule: long non-coding RNA, 732 nt
Filed under: Gopherus agassizii (Agassiz's desert tortoise)
Lineage: Eukaryota; Metazoa; Chordata; Testudines; Testudinidae
Description: lncRNA (ENSGAGG00000015547.1)
Source: RNAcentral